This 58-nucleotide transfer RNA is filed under the name Rattus norvegicus (Norway rat). Lineage: Eukaryota; Metazoa; Chordata; Mammalia; Rodentia; Muridae. The record is from Rfam by way of RNAcentral.
UGGCUCAGUGGUUAAGAGCACUGACUGCUCCUUCAGAAGUCCUGAGUUCAAUUCUCAG